AUUGAACGCUGGCGGCAGGCCUAACACAUGCAAGUCGAACGGUAACAGGAAGAAGCUUGCUUCUUUGCUGACGAGUGGCGGACGGGUGGGUAAUGUCUGGGAAACUGCCUGAUGGAGGGGGAUAACUACUGGAAACGGUAGCUAAUACCGCAUAACGUCGCAAGACCAAAGAGGGGGACCUUCGGGCCGCUUGCCAUCGGAUGUGCCCAGAUGGGAUUAGCUAGUAGGUGGGGUAACGGCUCACCUAGGCGACGAUCCCUAGCUGGUCUGAGAGGAUGACCAGCCACACUGGAACUGAGACACGGUCCAGACUCCUACGGGAGGCAGCAGUGGGGAAUAUUGCACAAUGGGCGCAAGCCUGAUGCAGCCAUGCCGCGUGUAUGAAGAAGGCCUUCGGGUUGUAAAGUACUUUCAGCGGGGAGGAAGGGAGUAAAGUUAAUACCUUUGCUCAUUGACGUUACCCGCAGAAGAAGCACCGGCUAACUCCGUG
Molecule: ribosomal RNA, 490 nt
Filed under: uncultured bacterium
Lineage: Bacteria
Description: partial 16S ribosomal RNA
Rfam family: Bacterial small subunit ribosomal RNA
Source: RNAcentral